GGCGAGUGAAGCGGGAUGAGCUCAAGCUUAAAAUCUCCGUACAAGUUUUGUACGGCGAAUUGUAGUCUAUAGAGGCGUGGUCAGCGUGAGCUCUUGGGGCAAGUUCCUUGGAAAAGGACAGCAUGGAGGGUGAUACUCCCGUUCAUCUCCGAGUGGCUCGUGCGUACGACCCGUUUUCUUUGAGUCGCGUUGUUUGAGAAUGCAGCGCAAAGUAGGUGGUAAAUUCCAUCUAAAGCUAAAUAUUGGUGCGAGACCGAUAGCAUACAAGUACCGUGAGGGAAAGAUGAAAAGAACUUUGAAAAGAGAGUUAAAGAGUACCUGAAACUGCUGAAAGGGAACCGAAUCGUUUCCAGUGUCUAUAAUCUGUGGCAUAUUUCAUUGGCGAGUGUGUGCGUGCGUGUGCUGUGGCAGCGGCCUUUGCUGCGCUUGGCGCGUGUGGUGUGUGUGCUUGCUGGUGCCCUGUGCUGCGGUGGGACGUCAAUGUCAGUUCGUAUGCUGCGGGAAAUGGCUGCCGAGGAGGUAGGGCUUACGCUUGCGUUUGUCUGUUAUAUCUUGGUGACGUGUCGCGGUUGGGACUGAGGUGCCUACAACGUGCUUUUGAGUGGGUUUGUGUCUCCGUGUGUGCCGUGUGCGGAUAGCUUGCUAUGCGUGUGUGGUUAUGGUGGAUUGAUAUGGGCUUUAACUUGUUGNNNNNNNNNNNNNNNNNNNNNNNNNNNNNNNNNNNNNGUCUUGAAACACGGACCAAGGAGUCUAACAUGUGUGCAAGUGUUAGGGUGUGGAAACCCCAGCGCGAAAUGAAAGUAAAGGGCAGCGAAGUGUCUGAGGUAGGAAACGUUGCGUUGCGGCGUGGCACUAUCGACCGAUCAUGAACCUUCGUGGUGAAAGAUUUGAGUUUGAGCACAUAUGUUGGUACCCGAAAGAUGGUGAACUAUGCCUGAGUAGGGU
RNAcentral lists this ribosomal RNA (945 nucleotides) under Peronospora hiemalis. RNAcentral's name for it is "partial large subunit ribosomal RNA". It matches the Rfam family "Eukaryotic large subunit ribosomal RNA", at positions 88 to 847 of the family's 3401-position model. Lineage: Eukaryota; Oomycota; Peronosporomycetes; Peronosporales; Peronosporaceae. The record is from RNAcentral.